Molecule: ribosomal RNA, 499 nt
Filed under: uncultured bacterium
Lineage: Bacteria
Description: partial 16S ribosomal RNA
Rfam family: Bacterial small subunit ribosomal RNA
Source: RNAcentral
GACGAACGCUGGCGGCGUGCCUAAUACAUGCAAGUCGAGCGAAGUUUUUCUGGUGCUUGCACCGGAAAAACUUAGCGGCGAACGGGUGAGUAACACGUAAAGAACCUGCCUCAUAGACUGGGACAACUAUUGGAAACGAUAGCUGAUACCGGAUAAUAGCAUUAACUGCAUGGUUGAUGUUUAAAAGUUGGUUUUGCUAACACUAUGAGAUGGCUUUGCGGUGCAUUAGCUAGUUGGUGGGGUAAAGGCCUACCAAGGCGACGAUGCAUAGCCGACCUGAGAGGGUGAUCGGCCACACUGGGACUGAGACACGGCCCAGACUCCUACGGGAGGCAGCAGUAGGGAAUCUUCCGCAAUGGGCGAAAGCCUGACGGAGCAACGCCGCGUGAGUGAAGAAGGAUUUCGGUUCGUAAAGCUCUGUUGUUAGGGAAGAAUGAUUGUGUAGUAACUAUACACAGUAGAGACGGUACCUAACCAGAAAGCCACGGCUAACUACGUG